This is a long non-coding RNA of Juglans microcarpa x Juglans regia, 183 nucleotides long. RefSeq lists it as uncharacterized. The transcript is spliced from 3 exons. The record is from RefSeq and is a predicted model, not a curated record. Lineage: Eukaryota; Viridiplantae; Streptophyta; Magnoliopsida; Fagales; Juglandaceae.
UAGUCUUGUCUAAGCUCAUAUGUUCUAUCACCUGGAAUUCUCCGAGUAUUUGGCCGAGAUGUUGUGGAACUCCCUUUAGUUGCAACAAGUAAUGGUAACCAUGGGAUGGGCUACUUCCAAAUCUUGUUUUCUUGCAUUGAGAAGCUGUCGUCUUUCCUGAAUGUGAAGAGCCUUGUCCUCCAG